This is a long non-coding RNA of Oryzias latipes (Japanese medaka), 409 nucleotides long. RefSeq lists it as uncharacterized. The record is from RefSeq and is a predicted model, not a curated record. NCBI's taxonomy places the organism in Eukaryota, Metazoa, Chordata, Actinopteri, Beloniformes, Adrianichthyidae.
CCAGUCCGUUGCCCCUGAUGGUGCAUAAGAUGGUCAUCACGUUCUUUGCCUUUGUCUCAAGACUGCACCUAAUAUCAUUCUCUCACCUGUCUCCAGGAACCCAUUGCCACGAGUGGUCGCCUGAGUCUGCUGUUAAUCCGGAACCCAGCUUUGUCAUCAUCACCGGUCAAACCACGAGCCUCUGCCAAAUCUGGCAUUCACCCCGAGACACGGACGAGUGACGGUUUUGCCAGCUCUCCUCUGCCACCUUCUCCACCAAGACCACUGCUUUGUCAUGGACUGGCUCUCAACCCCCAUUAUCCCUCAUACCUUCUGGAUGCAGGUUGACAUCUGCCCAAAGCCCAACCAUCAAAGACUAUGGACUCAUUCAUUACCAUCUUUCGUAUCACAAAUAAAUAUUUGAUUCCCA